Molecule: ribosomal RNA, 452 nt
Filed under: uncultured bacterium
Lineage: Bacteria
Description: bacterial SSU rRNA
Rfam family: Bacterial small subunit ribosomal RNA
Source: RNAcentral
UACGGAAGGCAGCAGUGGGGAAUAUUGCACAAUGGGCGCAAGCCUGAUGCAGCCAUGCCGCGUGUAUGAAGAAGGCCUUCGGGUUGUAAAGUACUUUCAGUCGUGAGGAAGGUGUUAAGGUUAAUAACCUUAGCAAUUGACGUUAGCGACAGAAGAAGCACCGGCUAACUCCGUGCCAGCAGCCGCGGUAAUACGGAGGGUGCGAGCGUUAAUCGGAAUUACUGGGCGUAAAGGGCACGCAGGCGGUUAAUUAAGUUGGAUGUGAAAUCCCCGGGCUUAACCUGGGAAUGGCAUUCAAGACUGGUUAGCUAGAGUCUUGUAGAGGGGGUAGAAUUCCAUGUGUAGCGGUGAAAUGCGUAGAGAUGUGGAGGAAUACCGGUGGCGAAGGCGGCCCCUGGGACAAAGACUGACGCUCAUGUGCGAAAGCGUGGGGAGCAAACAGGAUUAGAUAC